AGAAUUUCAUUUCAUCCAAACAAUGGGCGUUGAAAUGUUAGUGCCUCUUGAUUCAAAAUUUUCUUUAUUUGAAUAUUAUGUGUUUAGAAGUGCAAAUUUGUAUAAUUGAAUCUUCGCUCCAAUUUUAUAUUUCAUUUUUUGUGACUUUAUGCAGAACUUGGAAUCAGCUUUUCACAUAACAUGGAUGAUGAAUAUAAGAAGCUCGUACACAAAUUACUCCACCAAGGUAUAUACAAAUUAAAAUCAUAACUUGCGUCAAUAUAGAAUAAAUUAUUUUUUAGCACAUAACUUUGACAUAAUAAUUUUUCUCAUAAUUUAUAAAAUAUUGUACAGAUUUAUGCUACAUGGCAAUCAACAACUAAUAUUACUUCCAAGAAGGCAAGACCAACAUAUG
RNAcentral lists this long non-coding RNA (394 nucleotides) under Malus domestica (apple). RNAcentral describes it as "long non-coding RNA (MDOM_LNC013971)". Lineage: Eukaryota; Viridiplantae; Streptophyta; Magnoliopsida; Rosales; Rosaceae. The record is from RNAcentral.